CUUCAUUAUUAAGGGGAGCUAAUUACUAUUGGAAGGAAAAAUCCUGUGUCAAAGUAGCCUCAAAACCAGAACAGGAAACAGGGUGUCACCUGAGGCUGAGUGGGCUGGACAUGAAACAUCCAAGAAGAAUGGAUGGAAGCUGGCAACUCUGCCUUUUUUUGUACUAGCUGAAGGUCUUGCCUUGUCUCCCAAAAAUACAGAUCCCUCCAGCUCAAAGGCUCCAAAAUGUGACUCUUGAAAAAUAAAGGCAGCAGACUUUGUUCCUUCCAUGAAGUAGCUCAGUGUCUUCAUGGCAUCUCUGCAGCUCACUAAACGCUCACAGCCAGCACCACAUUGCGCAACACAUGGGAAAAGGGAAAAAGAAAGAAGGGGAAACUCAGAAGAAACGUAACAGAGGAUGUGCCCACCAAGAGUCCAGCUGCAAAGUUCCCACUUGCCAUCAAGUUCAGCAUCUUGGAUUUGUGACAUCCCCAGAAGAGAGGGGCUCGGAUGAGGCACAGCAAGGUCAGCCUUGUUUCUCCUGGUGAGCUGCCAGCCUGCUGUUUCCCACCACGCUCUCAGUGGUGCUGGCGAGGCUGUGGUGGCUCAGGGGUGCUGAAAGCAGGCCCGAUGCACAUCGAUAGUGUUGAUGCUACGCCUGGUUUGUCACACACAAAAGUGACUCUGCCCUGCCUGUCCCUGCAUCAAAACAGCCUCUUAGAGUGACAUUCCGGGGCUCUUUUUCAGACCCCUUCAUCCAUGGAAGGAGUAAGCGAGGGAAGCUGGGAGACAGAUGUGCAGCUGAUGCAAACACAAAUCCUCCUAAUGAGCUCACUGGAGCUGAACCAGUUCCAUCAGCAGAAGAAAUUUCCCUUUUUCCCCAGGUGACCUGCAGCCUGGCUCACUCAUACCGAGUCUGAGUGCUGUUGUUUUCUCCCAGGAACCUGCUUCCUGUAUGUUCUGAAAGGGAUGGUGAAGGCCCGAGGGAAGAGCUGAGGGCACAGAGCUGGAGCACCAAAGACAGUGUUGGUGAUUAACCACCCUGGUGGCUGCUGGGUUUCUUCUUGGGUGGCUCAAUUUGGCAGUGUGAGGCACUGACCUGGUGUCCUUCUGCAUGGCAAGGAUGCACUGUAUCAGCCGGCAAAAACCUGGGUACAUGUAAUCCUUUACAGCUCAUCCACCCUCUCCUUAGAAGACACUUUUCUUUUUUAUUAUAGGGGGUAAUAAAUAAAAAAAAAUCAUAUUUUUACAUAAUCAGCAACAACAAAGCUUUAGGGACUUCCUGAGAAUCUGAAAAAUUGAUUGCAAAAACCAACAAAAAGACAUCUCCAGCAGUUAAAACUCAGGGCUGUGCUUUGAACUUUUGUCACGUUUUUUAAACAAAGUCAUCAGCUGUGAUUGCAUCCAGUUUGAGAUCAUUGCCAUAAUUAAUUUUAAUUAAAGUAUACUUAACUUAAAUCUUAUGAAGGUUUCUUUCAUGUCCCUGUAUAGCACCGAUAUUCACGUAUGAUAGGACAUCAUUCACAUGCAAUUUUGCAGUUCGAUGUUGACUCACACAGCACCUGCCAGCUUAGCCAUGCUUUGAAAAUUCAAAAUACGUUUCUGCAAGCAGGUUGUAGUGAAUGCCAAUACGAUGAUUACAUAAACAGAGGAAUCUACUGUCAUGCAUAACCACAAUUUUGUAAAUACCACAUCACACGUGUCCUCACACGUGCCGAUAGGUUUUUAUAGCAUAUAGGGGAUUGAUUUUGCUGUGCCCUCAUCAAUCUAUUCCAUGUGUUGAUCUCAGUUUGAGGUGAUGAUGUGCUGUGGACAGGGAUUUGAUCCACACUUUCAAAAUCUCUGUAACUCUGGCUGUUUGACUGACAAAUUAAUCUCCUGCUCCCCCAAACUAGAGCCAGCCCCAGCUGCUGUGUCGUUCACUUUUGGGAAACUGUGAAAAACAGUGAGUGCAGCUACAACUGUCUUGAGAGUCAGAAAUGUUUGGUAUGGAUAUAAAAGUGUUCCUGGGAGAACAGGAGAGGCCAUCUAAAUACCUAAUUGGCUUUAUUCUCACUAUACAUUCCUUAGGCAACUGCCUGCCAGGUCAAAGCAAGUGAUAUAAUUCCCUUCAGACCUCAAAUAGAGACAUUCUGACACAGAAAUCAGAAAACCAGCAAGUAUAUAAAGGUGGGAUACUAUUCAUUAGCUUAUGAAAAUAUAAUUUGGCUUUAGUAGAAAAUUAAACAGAAAUAUUUCUUUCACAUAUUUGAAACAAAUGUAUGGAGAACGUAAAUUAUUUACCAUACAAAUCUCCAUAUAAGCAGGUCCCUGAGUUUAGGUAAGGCUGGAAAUAGUAUUAUUUGAAAAGGUGUUGAUUGAAAAUUGCUUGUCUUCCUGAAAUUUACUGCCACCUUGAAUUAGUAUUCCUCAUGGUAAGUGCUUGUCAAGCACAUGGCCAAUAAAUAACGCGGGUGGUGUAAACACAGCUAUGUGAUCAGGAAGUUAAAAAAAUGUUUGCUAAUGCCUUUUGGGGGGUCUUCCUGUUUCCCAGAAGAAGAGUUUUCCUGCCCAGAACAUUCUCAGAUAUCUGUAUGAGCCCGUGCUGGCUCAGCCAACAGUUCACCUCUGUUCUGCAGAUUUUAGCCACAGGAAUCGUUUCCAGUUCCGCUUCCCUAUUGCCUCGUGUUCUCAAAGGGGAGCGGGUGCAAUCAGGAAUACCCAGCAUUACUAUUGUUGUUGCUAAACCAAAUGAGA
This is a long non-coding RNA of Parus major (Great Tit), 2715 nucleotides long. RefSeq lists it as uncharacterized. The transcript is spliced from 3 exons. The record is from RefSeq and is a predicted model, not a curated record. NCBI's taxonomy places the organism in Eukaryota, Metazoa, Chordata, Aves, Passeriformes, Paridae.